This 698-nucleotide ribosomal RNA is filed under the name uncultured marine bacterium. RNAcentral describes it as "bacterial SSU rRNA". It matches the Rfam family "Bacterial small subunit ribosomal RNA", at positions 61 to 803 of the family's 1533-position model. The record is from RNAcentral.
GUCGAACGAAGUAGCAAUACUUAGUGGCAGACGGGUGAGUAACAUGUGGGUAUCUACCCUUUGGCCUGGAAUAACACGAGGAAACUUGUGCUAAUACCGGAUAAGUCUUUACGGAGAAAGCUUUAUGCACCAUUGGAUGAGCCUGCACUUGAUUAGUUUGUUGGUGGGGUAAUGGCCUACCAAGGCUUUGAUCAAUAGCUGAUUUGAGAGGAUGAUCAGCCACAUUGGGACUGAGACACGGCCCAAACUCCUACGGGAGGCAGCAGUGGGGAAUCUUGCACAAUGGAGGAAACUCUGAUGCAGCGAUGCCGCGUGAGUGAAGAAGGCCUUUGGGUUGUAAAGCUCUUUCGUCGGGGAAGAAAAUGACUGUACCCGAAUAAGAAGGUCCGGCUAACUUCGUGCCAGCAGCCGCGGUAAUACGAAGGGACCUAGCGUAGUUCGGAAUUACUGGGCUUAAAGAGUUCGUAGGUGGUUGAAAAAGUUGGUGGUGAAAUCCCAGAGCUUAACUCUGGAACUGCCAUCAAAACUUUUCAGCUAGAGUAUGAUAGAGGAAAGCAGAAUUUCUAGUGUAGAGGUGAAAUUCGUACAUAUUAGAAAGAAUACCAAUUGCGAAGGCAGCUUUCUGGAUCAUUACUGACACUGAGGAACGAAAGCUUGGGUAGCGAAGAGGAUUAGAUACCCUCGUAGUCCCAUGCCCG